GUGAACAGAGGAGGCGGAGCUUGCAGUGAGCCGAGAUGGUGCCACUGCACUCCAUCCUGGGCGACAGAGUGAGACGCCGUCUCAAAAAAAAAAAUAAAAGAGACAGGGGUCUGGCUAUGUUGCCCAGGCUGGUCUUGAACUCCUGAGCUCAAGUGAUCCUCCCACCUUGGUAUCCCAAACUGCCAGGACUACAGGCAAGGCAUUAGCCACCAUGCCUGGACCAGGUUUUAGUUUUUUUCUUAAUUGUUUACAAUCUUGCCCCACCCUUUCUUCAUUUUAAAGGGAAUUUAUGCUCCUAUUUGGCUGGGCUGGGCUCAUUCUGCCACACUGAGCUGCUUGCUCUUCUAACGUCCUCCAGAGUUUCUGGCUCUGGAGUCCUGAGUCUGCCUUGCCCGCAGCCUUUACAGCCUGGCACUAGGAGCAUAAGUUCCCUUUAAAAUGAAGAGAGAGUGGGGCAAGUUUGUAAAAAAUUAAGAAAAAAACUAAAGCCUGGGCCAGAUAUGGUGGCUCAUGCCUGUAGUCCCAGCACUUUGGGGUGCCGAGGCGGGAAGACCACUUGAGCUCAGGAGUUCAAGACUAGCGUAGGCAACAUAGCCAGGUCCCUGUCUCUUUUAAAAAAAAUGCCCACGGUGAAACCCCGUCUCUACAAAAAAUAUAAAAAUUAGCCGGGCGAGGUGGCGUGCGCCUGUAAUCCCAGCUACUCAGGAGGCUGAGGCAGGAGAAUUGCUUGAACCCGGGAGGAGGAGGUUGCAGUGAGCCGAGAUCGUGCCGCUGCAUUCCAGCCUAGGCGACAGAGCUGGGUCUUAGUUGAUAUCACCUUGGCCAGUCACUCCCCAUCUCUGGGUCCCAGUGUUUUCACCAAUCCAUUGCCUCGUGGACCUUAAUUUCAGAUCAUAUGAGUAAAAUCCCAUGGAAAGGAAACCAUCCUGAGCAUACUAAAAGCUGCAGUCAGUUCACACGCCUGGAUGAGCCAGAGGCCAUACAAGUCUCAUCUCCAACACCUCCCAGCUGUUCCUUAACCUCUGCCGGCCUUAGUUUCCUCAUCUAUGAAAUGGGCAACAAUAAACUUAGUGUUGUGAGGAUUUACAUCAUGUAGGGAAAGAAGUUUAGCAUAAUAUGUGCCCCGGAAACAGACUGAUUAGUUCAAAUUUGGGCUCUGACAUAUAGCAGAGCCCAUAUAGCAUAUGGCAUAUAGCAUAUAUAUGGUCACAUAUAGCUAUGUGACCUUGAGCAAACAAACCUGUCUGAGCUUCAGUUUCCUCAUCUGAGAAAUAAGAAUAAUAAUGAGGACUUACCUCCAAGGUUGCUAUGAAAAGCAAGGCAAGGGCCAGGCGCAGUGGCUCACACCUGUAAUCCCAACACUUUGGGAGGCCGAGGCAGGUGGAUCACCUGAGGUCAGGAGUUCGAGACCAGCCUCGCCAAUAUGGCAAAACCCCGUCUUUACUAAAAAUACAAAAAAAAAAAAAAAACAGCCGGGUGUGGUGGCGGGCACCUAUAAUCCCAGCUACUAAAGAGGCUGAGGCAGGAGAAUCACUUGAACCUGGGGGGGCAGAGGUUGCAGUGAGCCAAGAUCACAACACUGCACUCAAGCCUGGGCAACAGAGCAAAACUCUGCCAAAAAAAAAAAAACAAAAAAAAUUGGCUGAGUGUGGUGGCUCAUGCCUGUAAUCCCAGGACUUUGGGAGGUCGAGUUGGGUGGAUCACGAGGUCAGGAGAUCGAGACC
RNAcentral lists this long non-coding RNA (1724 nucleotides) under Homo sapiens (human). RNAcentral describes it as "HSALNT0231934". Lineage: Eukaryota; Metazoa; Chordata; Mammalia; Primates; Hominidae. The record is from RNAcentral.